UCCCAAAAAUUCCCCAAAAAUUCCCCCAAAUUCCUCCCCCAACCCCAGGGUCUCCCCCGGCUUCUGGCGCGUCCCGCACGCCGCAGCAAACUGGGAGCUACUGGGAACUACUGGGGGCUACUGGGAGCUACUGGGAGCUACUGGGGGCUACUGGGAGCUACUGGGAGCCACUGGGGGCUACUGGGAGCCACUGGGGGCUACUGGGAGCUACUGGGAGCUACUGGGGGCUACUGGGGGCUACUGGGGGCUACUGGGAGUUACUGGGAGCCGGUCCCGAUUCUCCCAUGGGUUUGGGCGUCUCUCUUGGAGUUUGGGGGUCUCCUGGUCCAGGUUGGGGUCUCCUGGUUGGGGUCGGGGUUCCCUCAUUUGGGUCGGGGUCUCCUGGUUGGGGUCUUCUGGUCCAUGUCAGGGUCUCCUCAUUUGGGUCGGGGUCUCCUGGUCCAGGUCAAGGUCUCCUCAUCUGGAUUGGGGUCUCCAGGUUGGGGUCUCCAGGUUGGGUCGGGGUCUCCUGGUCCAGGUUGGGGUCUCCUCAUCUGGAUUGGGGUCUCCAGGUCGGGGUCUCCUGGUCCAGGUCGGGGUCUCCUGGUUGGGGUCAAGGUUCCCUCACUUGGGUCGGGGUCUCCUGGUUGGGGUCUCCUGGUCCAGGUCGAGGUCUCCUCAUCUGGAUUGGGGUCUCCAGGUUGGGGUCUCCAGGUUGGGUUGGAGGUCUUCUGGUCCAUGUCAGGGUCUCCUGGUUGGGGUCUCCUGGUUGGGGUUGGGGUCACCUGGUCCAGGUCAAGGUCUCCUCAUCUGGAUUGGGGUCUCCUGGUCCUGGUCGGGGUCUCCUGGUCCAGGUCAGGGUCUCCUCAUCUGGGUCGAGGUCUCCUGGGUGGGGUCUCCUGGUUGGGGUCGGGGUCUCCUGGUCCAGGUCAGGGUCUCCUGGUUGGGGUCAAGGUUCCCUCACUUGGGUUGGGGUCUCCAGGUUGGGUUGGGGGUCUCCUGGUCCAGGUCAAGGUCCCCUCAUUUGGGUCAGGGUCUCCAGGUCAGGGUCUCCUCAUCUGGAUUGGGGUCUCCAGGUUGGGGUCUCCAGGUUGGGGUCAAGGUUUCCUCACUUGGGUCGGGGUCUCCUGGUCAGGAUCUCCUGGUCCAGGUCAGGGUCUCCAGGUUGGGGUCUCCAGGUUGGGUUGGAGGUCUCCUGGUCCAGGUCAAGGUCUCCUCAUCUGGGUCGAGGUCUCCUGGUUGGGGUCUCCUGGUCCAGGUCGGGGUCUCCUGGUUGGGGUCUCCUGGUUGGGGUCUCCUGGUCCAGGUCGGGGUCUCCUGGUUG
RNAcentral lists this long non-coding RNA (1303 nucleotides) under Parus major (Great Tit). RNAcentral describes it as "lncRNA (ENSPMJG00000015993.1)". Lineage: Eukaryota; Metazoa; Chordata; Aves; Passeriformes; Paridae. The record is from RNAcentral.